GACGAACGCUGGCGGCGUGCUUAACACAUGCAAGUCGAACGGGAAGGCUCCAGCUUGCUGGAGUUCUCGAGUGGCGAAAGGGUGAGUAACACGUGGGUAAUCUGCCCUGCACCCUGGGAUAAGCCUGGGAAACUGGGUCUAAUACUGGAUAUUACCUUUCGCCUUGUGGGGUUUGGUGGGAAGUGUUUCGGUGUAGGAUGGGCCCGCGGCCUGUCAGCUUGUUGGUGGGGUGGUGGCCUAGCAAGGCGAUGACGGGUCGCCGGCCUGAGAGGGUGCUCGGCCACACUGGGACUGAGACACGGCGCAGAAGCCGACGGGAUGCAGCAGUGGGGAAUAGUGCACUAUGGGCGGAAGGCGGAUGCAGCGACGCCGUGUGGGGGAUGACGGCCUUUGGGUUGUAAACAUGUUUCAGCAGGGACUAAGCGUGAGUGACGGUACCGGGAGAAGAAGCACCGGCUAACUAUGUG
RNAcentral lists this ribosomal RNA (467 nucleotides) under uncultured bacterium. Its description in RNAcentral is "partial 16S ribosomal RNA". It matches the Rfam family "Bacterial small subunit ribosomal RNA", at positions 28 to 507 of the family's 1533-position model. The record is from RNAcentral.